Molecule: non-coding RNA, 23 nt
Filed under: Cricetulus griseus (Chinese hamster)
Lineage: Eukaryota; Metazoa; Chordata; Mammalia; Rodentia; Cricetidae
Source: RNAcentral
GUUGCUGUUAUAGAAUGAGUGCC